RNAcentral lists this transfer RNA (78 nucleotides) under Acidobacteriota bacterium. RNAcentral describes it as "Acidobacteria bacterium tRNA-Arg". It matches the Rfam family "tRNA". From Rfam's summary of the family: Transfer RNA (tRNA) molecules are approximately 80 nucleotides in length. The record is from RNAcentral. Lineage: Bacteria; Pseudomonadati; Acidobacteriota.
GCGGGCGUCGUUCAACGGAUCAGGAUACCCGGCUACGAACCGGGAGACUUGGAGGUUCAAAUCCUCCCGCCCGCGCCA